Small nuclear RNA from Heterocephalus glaber (naked mole-rat), 105 nucleotides. NCBI's taxonomy places the organism in Eukaryota, Metazoa, Chordata, Mammalia, Rodentia, Bathyergidae. The record is from Ensembl.
GUGCACUUCAGCAGCAAGUAUACUAAAAUUGGAACAACACAGAGAAGGUUUGCAUGGCCCCUGAGAAAGGGUGAUACAUGAGUUUGUGAAGCAUUCCAUAUUUUA